CUAUUACAUGCAAGUCGAGCGGACAGAAGGGAGCUUGCUCCCGGAUGUUAGCGGCGGACGGGUGAGUAACACGUGGGUAACCUGCCUGUAAGACUGGGAUAACUCCGGGAAACCGGAGCUAAUACCGGAUAGUUCCUUGAACCGCAUGGUUCAAGGAUGAAAGACGGUUUCGGCUGUCACUUACAGAUGGACCCGCGGCGCAUUAGCUAGUUGGUGGGGUAAUGGCUCACCAAGGCGACGAUGCGUAGCCGACCUGAGAGGGUGAUCGGCCACACUGGGACUGAGACACGGCCCAGACUCCUACGGGAGGCAGCAGUAGGGAAUCUUCCGCAAUGGACGAAAGUCUGACGGAGCAACGCCGCGUGAGUGAUGAAGGUUUUCGGAUCGUAAAGCUCUGUUGUUAGGGAAGAACAAGUGCGAGAGUAACUGCUCGCACCUUGACGGUACCUAACCAGAAAGCCACGGCUAACUACGUGCCAGCAGCCGCGGUAAUACGUAGGUGGCAAGCGUUGUCCGGAAUUAUUGGGCGUAAAGGGCUCGCAGGCGGUUUCUUAAGUCUGAUGUGAAAGCCCCCGGCUCAACCGGGGAGGGUCAUUGGAAACUGGGAAACUUGAGUGCAGAAGAGGAGAGUGGAAUUCCACGUGUAGCGGUGAAAUGCGUAAAGAUGUGGAGGAACACCAGUGGCGAAGGCGACUCUCUGGUCUGUAACUGACGCUGAGGAGCGAAAGCGUGGGAAGCGAACAGGAUUAUAUACCCUGGGAGUCCACGCCGUAAACGAUGAGUGCUAAGUGUUAGGGGGGUUUCCGCCCCUUAGUGCUGCGGCUAACGCUUUAAGCACUCCGCCUGGGGAGUACGGGCGCAAGAAUGAAACUUCAAAGGA
Molecule: ribosomal RNA, 880 nt
Filed under: Bacillus zhangzhouensis
Lineage: Bacteria; Bacillati; Bacillota; Bacilli; Caryophanales; Bacillaceae
Description: bacterial SSU rRNA
Rfam family: Bacterial small subunit ribosomal RNA
Source: RNAcentral